Molecule: ribosomal RNA, 322 nt
Filed under: uncultured Chloroflexota bacterium
Lineage: Bacteria; Bacillati; Chloroflexota
Description: bacterial SSU rRNA
Rfam family: Bacterial small subunit ribosomal RNA
Source: RNAcentral
GAUGAACGCUGGCGGCGUGCUUAAUACAUGCAAGUCGAACGAAGUCAGUAGCAAUAUUGGCUGAGUGGCGAACGGGUGAGUAACGCGUUGGUGACCUGCCCCGAAGUGAGGGAUAACAGCUCGAAAGUGCUGCUAAUACCCCAUGUGGUCAUGAGGGUUAGAUGCCUUAUGACUAAAGGAGUAAUCCGCUUCGGGAGGGGCCUGCGUCCCAUCAGCUAGUUGGUAGGGUAAUGGCCUACCAAGGCGACGACGGGUAGGGGACCUGAGAGGGUGACCCCCCACACUGGCACUGAAACACGGGCCAGACACCUACGGGAGGCUG